GGCGGGCCCGCCUUAACUGGCCGCCGGGGGGCUCACGCCCCCGGGCCCGCGCCCGCCGAAGACACCCUCGAACUCUGUCUGAAGAUUGUAGUCUGAGUGAAAAUAUAAAUUAUUUAAAACUUUCAACAACGGAUCUCUUGGUUCCGGCAUCGAUGAAGAACGCAGCGAAAUGCGAUACGUAAUGUGAAUUGCAAAUUCAGUGAAUCAUCGAGUCUUUGAACGCACAUUGCGCCCCCUGGUAUUCCGGGGGGCAUGCCUGUCCGAGCGUCAUUGCUGCCCUCAAGCACGGCUUGUGUGUUGGGCCCCGUCCUCCGAUUCCGGGGGACGGGCCCGAAAGGCAGCGGCGGCACCGCGUCCGGUCCUCGAGCGUAUGGGGCUUUGUCACCCGCUCUGUAGGCCCGGCCGGCGCUUGCCGAUCAACCCAAAUUUUUAUCCAGGUUGACCUCGGAUCAGGUAGGGAUACCCGCUG
This 469-nucleotide ribosomal RNA is filed under the name Penicillium dipodomyicola. RNAcentral describes it as "eukaryotic LSU rRNA". The stretch from base 118 to 270 matches the Rfam family "5.8S ribosomal RNA". Lineage: Eukaryota; Fungi; Ascomycota; Eurotiomycetes; Eurotiales; Aspergillaceae. The record is from RNAcentral.